GUCAAGAUAGCUCAGUUGGUAGAGCAGAGGACUGAAAAUC
This 40-nucleotide transfer RNA is filed under the name Restio echinatus. RNAcentral describes it as "partial tRNA-Phe". Lineage: Eukaryota; Viridiplantae; Streptophyta; Magnoliopsida; Poales; Restionaceae. The record is from RNAcentral.